This 772-nucleotide ribosomal RNA is filed under the name uncultured Neocallimastigales. RNAcentral describes it as "partial large subunit ribosomal RNA". It matches the Rfam family "Eukaryotic large subunit ribosomal RNA", at positions 18 to 642 of the family's 3401-position model. Lineage: Eukaryota; Fungi; Neocallimastigomycota; Neocallimastigomycetes; Neocallimastigales. The record is from RNAcentral.
UCAGACGAUGCGUCAUGCAUAUCAAUAAGCGGAGGAAAAGAAACUAACAAGGAUUCCCUUAGUAACGGCGAGUGAAGCGGGAAGAGCUCAAAUUUGAAAUCUUCAAGGUUUUACCUUGACGAAUUGUAGUUUAAAGAAGUGUUUUCUGCUGAAGUUUUGGUAAAAGUUCUUUGGAAUAGGACAUCAUAGAGGGUGAGAAUCCCGUAUUUGACCAUUAUUUUCAGCUUUGUGAUACACUUUCAAAGAGUCGGACUGUUUGGGAAUGCAGUCCAAAAUGGGUGGUAAAUUUCAUCUAAAGCUAAAUAUUGGCGAGAGACCGAUAGCGAACAAGUACCGUGAGGGAAAGAUGAAAAGAACUUUGAAAAGAGAGUUAAAUAGUACGUGAAAUUGUCAAAAGGGAAGCGUUUAACACCAGUGUUGUUUUCUGAAAAUCAACCUCUGUUAGCUUUAUGCAUGUUUGUUUAGACCUAAUCAGCUAUCUUGCAUGUUCUAUUGUUUGCAGUGGUGCACUUUUCAGUUUACAGGUCAACAUCAGUUUUUUUUACCGUAAAAAAGUUAAAGAAAGGUAGCUCAUGGCUCCGGUCGUGAGUGUUAUAGUCUUUUUCCUAUGCGGUAGGAGAGACUGAGGUCUGCAGUGUAGGCUAUUUGGCUAGAUACUCAGGGUGCUAUGUGAUACCAUUUCAUAAACAACUUGUUGAUUAUGAUUUGUCUAUUGCAUACUCGCUUGUACUAUCAUACCUACGCUUAGGAUGUUGACUGAUAUGUAGUCGUA